RNAcentral lists this ribosomal RNA (497 nucleotides) under uncultured bacterium. RNAcentral's name for it is "partial 16S ribosomal RNA". It matches the Rfam family "Bacterial small subunit ribosomal RNA", at positions 28 to 507 of the family's 1533-position model. The record is from RNAcentral.
GAUGAACGCUGGCGGCGUGCCUAAUACAUGCAAGUCGAGCGAACAGACGAGGAGCUUGCUCCUCUGACGUUAGCGGCGGACGGGUGAGUAACACGUGGAUAACCUACCUAUAAGACUGGGAUAACUUCGGGAAACCGGAGCUAAUACCGGAUAAUAUAUUGAACCGCAUGGUUCAAUAGUGAAAGACGGUUUUGCUGUUACUUAAAGAUGGAUCCGCGCCGCAUUGGUUAGUUGGUAAGGUAACGGCUUACCAAGGCAACGAUGCGUAGCCGACCUGAGAGGGUGAUCGGCCACACUGGAACUGAGACACGGUCAAGACUCCUACGGGAGGCAGCAGUAGGGAAUCUUCCGCAAUGGGCGAAAGCUUGACGGAGCAACGCCGCGUGAGUGAUGAAGGUCUUCGGAUCUUAAAACUCUGUUAUUAGGGAAGAACAAAUGUGUAAGUAACUAUGCACGUCUUGACGGUACCUAAUCAGAAAGCCACGGCUAACUACGUG